UACGUAGGUGGCAAGCGUUGUCCGGAAUUAUUGGGCGUAAAGCGAGCGUAGGCGGUUUUUUAAGUCUGGUGUGAAAGCCCCCGGCUCAACCGGGGAGGGGCAUUGGAAACUGGGGAACUUGAGUGGAGAAGAGGAGGGUGGAAUUCCAGGUGUAGCGGUGAAAUGCGUAGAUAUAUGGAAGAACACCAGUGGCGAAGGCGGCCGACUGGUCUGUAACUGACGCUGAGGCUCGAAAGCGUGGGGAGCAAACAGG
RNAcentral lists this ribosomal RNA (253 nucleotides) under uncultured bacterium. RNAcentral's name for it is "partial 16S ribosomal RNA". It matches the Rfam family "Bacterial small subunit ribosomal RNA", at positions 524 to 776 of the family's 1533-position model. The record is from RNAcentral.